UUGAACGCUGGCGGCAGGCUUAACACAUGCAAGUCGAGCGGUAACAGGAGAAGCUUGCUUCUCGCUGACGAGCGGCGGACGGGUGAGUAACGCGUAGGAAUUUGCCUAGUAGUGGGGGAUAGCCCAGAGAAAUUUGGAUUAAUACCGCAUACACUCUACGGAGAAAAGCAGGGGAUCUUAGGACCUUGCGCUAUUAGAUAAGCCUGCGUGGGAUUAGCUAGUUGGUGAGGUAAAGGCUCACCAAGGCGACGAUCUCUAGCUGGUCUGAGAGGAUGAUCAGCCACACUGGGACUGAGACACGGCCCAGACUCCUACGGGAGGCAGCAGUGGGGAAUAUUGCACAAUGGGCGAAAGCCUGAUGCAGCCAUGCCGCGUGUGUGAAGAAGGCCUUCGGGUUGUAAAGCACUUUCAGUUGUGAGGAAAGGGAUGUAGUUAAUAACUGCAUUCUGUGACGUUAACAACAGAAGAAGCACCGGCUAACUUCGUGCCAGCAGCCGCGGUAAUACGAGGGGUGCAAGCGUUAAUCGGAAUUACUGGGCGUAAAGCGCGCGUAGGUGGUUAAGUCAGUCAACUGUGAAAGCCCUGGGCUCAACCUGGGAACUGCAGCUGAUACUGCUUGACUCGAGUAUGGUAGAGGGUGGUGGAAUUUCCUGUGUAGCGGUGAAAUGCGUAGAUAUUUGGAAGGAACAUCAGUUGCGAAGGCGGCUCACUGGACCAAUACUGACGCUGAGGUGCGAAAGCGUGGGUAGCGAACAGGAUUAGAUACCCUGGUAGUCCACGCCGUAAACGAUGUCUACUAGCCGUUGGGGAACUUGAUUCUUUAGUGGCGCAGCUAACGCGAUAAGUAGACCGCCUGGGGAGUACGGCCGCAAGGUUAAAACUCAAAUGAAUUGACGGGGGCCCGCACAAGCGGUGGAGCAUGUGGUUUAAUUCGACGCAACGCGAAGAACCUUACCUACACUUGACAUCCUGCGAACUUACUAGAGAUAGUUUGGUGCCUUCGGGAACGCAGUGACAGGUGCUGCAUGGCUGUCGUCAGCUCGUGUUGUGAAAUGUUGGGUUAAGUCCCGUAACGAGCGCAACCCUUGUCCUUAUUUGCCAGCACUUCGGGUGGGAACUCUAAGGAGACUGCCGGUGACAAACCGGAGGAAGGUGGGGACGACGUCAAGUCAUCAUGGCCCUUACGAGUUGGGCUACACACGUGCUACAAUGGCCAGUACAGAGGGCCGCAAACCAGCGAUGGUAAGCUAAUCUCAGAAAACCGGUCGUAGUCCGGAUCGCAGUCUGCAACUCGACUGCGUGAAGUCGGAAUCGCUAGUAAUCGCGAAUCAGAAUGUCGCGGUGAAUACGUUCCCGGGCCUUGUACACACCGCCCGUCACAUCAUGGGAGUGGAUUGCACCAGAAGUAGGUAGUCUAACCGCAAGGGGGACGCUUACCACGGAGUGGUCAAUGACUGGGGUGA
This 1463-nucleotide ribosomal RNA is filed under the name uncultured prokaryote. Its description in RNAcentral is "partial 16S ribosomal RNA". It matches the Rfam family "Bacterial small subunit ribosomal RNA". The record is from RNAcentral.